Molecule: ribosomal RNA, 460 nt
Filed under: uncultured bacterium
Lineage: Bacteria
Description: partial 16S ribosomal RNA
Rfam family: Bacterial small subunit ribosomal RNA
Source: RNAcentral
CCUACGGGAGGCAGCAGUGAGGAAUAUUGGUCAAUGGGCGCGAGCCUGAACCAGCCAAGUCGCGUGAGGGAGGACGGCCCUACGGGUUGUAAACCUCUUUUGCCGGGGAGCAACGGGCGUCACGUGUGGCGCCACUGAGAGUACCCGGAGAAAAAGCAUCGGCUAACUCCGUGCCAGCAGCCGCGGUAAUACGGGGGAUGCGAGCGUUAUCCGGAUUUAUUGGGUUUACAGGGUGCGUAGGCGGAUCGUAAAGUCAGUGGUCAAAUUGAGGGGCUCAACCCCUUCCCGCCAUUGAAACUGGCGUUCUUGAUUGGAAGAGAAGUAUGCGGAAUGCGUGGUGUAGCGGUGAAAUGCAUAGAGAUCACGCAGAACCCCGAUUGCGAAGGCAGCAUGCCGGCUUCCGACUGACGCUGAAGCACGAAAGCGUGGGGAUCGAACAGGAUUAGAGACCCGAGUAGUC